GCACUCCGGGGGGCAUGCCUGUUCGAGCGUCAUUG
Molecule: ribosomal RNA, 35 nt
Filed under: uncultured soil eukaryote
Lineage: Eukaryota
Description: partial 5.8S ribosomal RNA
Source: RNAcentral